This 37-nucleotide small RNA is filed under the name Arabidopsis thaliana (thale cress). RNAcentral describes it as "ATSL304460". Lineage: Eukaryota; Viridiplantae; Streptophyta; Magnoliopsida; Brassicales; Brassicaceae. The record is from RNAcentral.
UGUUUUUUUUGGUUUUUGGACUUUAGCUGUCGGCGUU